RNAcentral lists this ribosomal RNA (253 nucleotides) under uncultured bacterium. RNAcentral describes it as "partial 16S ribosomal RNA". It matches the Rfam family "Bacterial small subunit ribosomal RNA", at positions 524 to 776 of the family's 1533-position model. The record is from RNAcentral.
UACGUAGGCAGCAAGCGUUGUUCGGAGUUACUGGGCGUAAAGGGUGUGUAGGCGGUUCCUUAAGUUUGCUGUGAAAUCUCCCGGCUUAACCGGGAGGGUGCGGUGAAUACUGAGGGACUAGAGUACGGGAGAGGAAAGUGGAAUUCCCGGUGUAGCGGUGAAAUGCGCAGAUAUCAGGAAGAACACCCGUGGCGAAAGCGGCUCUCUGGAACGGUACUGACGCUGAGACGCGAAAGCGUGGGGAGCGAACAGG